UAAUACGGAGGGUGCAAGCGUUGUCCGGAUUCAUUGGGUUUAAAGGGUGCGUAGGCGGCCUAGUAAGUCAGCGGUGAAAUACCCACGCUCAACGUGGGAACUGCCGUUGAUACUGCAGGGCUUGAGUUCGUCCGAGGUGGCUGGAAUGCGUGGUGUAGCGGUGAAAUGCAUAGAUAUCACGCAGAACACCGAUUGCGAAGGCAGGUCACUGGGACGCGACUGACGCUGAGGCACGAAAGUGUGGGGAGCAAACAGGAUUAGAUACCCUGGUAGUCCACACCGUAAACGAUGGAUACUAGGUGUCCGGGGAUUCGUCCCUGGGUGCCCAAGGGAAACCGAUAAGUAUCCCACCUGGGGAGUACGUUCGCAAGGAUG
Molecule: ribosomal RNA, 375 nt
Filed under: uncultured bacterium
Lineage: Bacteria
Description: bacterial SSU rRNA
Rfam family: Bacterial small subunit ribosomal RNA
Source: RNAcentral